UACAGGUUAGUAAUGAGGCUAUAUACAGGGGUACAGGUUAGUAAUGAGACUAUAUACAGGGGGUACAGGUUAGUAAUGAGACUAUAUACAGGGGGUACAGGUUAGUAAUGAGACUAUAUACAGGGGUACAGGUUAGUAAUGAGACUAUAUACAGGGGUACAGGUUAGUAAUGAGACUAUAUACAGGGGUACAGGUUAGUAAUGAGACUAUAUACAGGGGGUACAGGUUAGUAAUGAGACUAUAUACAGGGGGUACAGGUUAGUAAUGAGGCUAUAUACAGGGGGUACAGGUUAGUAAUGAGACUAUAUACAGGGGGUACAGGUUAGUAAUGAGACUAUAUACAGGGGGUACAGGUUAGUAAUGAGACUAUAUACAGGGGGUACAGGUUAGUAAUGAGGCUAUAUACAGGGGGUACAGGUUAGUAAUGAGACUAUAUACAGGGGUACAGGUUAGUAAUGAGGCUAUAUACAGGGGUACAGGUUAGUAAUGAGACUAUAUACAGGGGGUACAGGUUAGUAAUGAGACUAUAUACAGGGGUACAGGUUAGUAAUGAGACUAUAUACAGGGGUACAGGUUAGUAAUGAGACUAUAUACAGGGGGUACAGGUUAGUAAUGAGACUAUAUACAGGGGUACAGGUUAGUAAUGAGACUAUAUACAGGGGUACAGGUUAGUAAUGAGACUAUAUACAGGGGUACAGGUUAGUAAUGAGACUAUAUACAGGGGGUACAGGUUAGUAAUGAGACUAUAUACAGGGGGUACAGGUUAGUAAUGAGACUAUAUACAGGGGGUACAGGUUAGUAAUGAGACUAUAUACAGGGGGUACAGGUUAGUAAUGAGACUAUAUACAGGGGGUACAGGUUAGUAAUGAGACUAUAUACAGGGGGUACAGGUUAGUAAUGAGACUAUAUACAGGGGUACAGGUUAGUAAUGAGACUAUAUACAGGGGGUACAGGUUAGUAAUGAGACUAUAUACAAGGGGUACAGGUUAGUAAUGAGACUAUAUACAGGGGGUACAGGUUAGUAAUGAGACUAUAUACAGGGGGUACAGGUUAGUAAUGAGACUAUAUACAGGGGGUACCGGUUAGUAAUGAGGCUAUAUA
Long non-coding RNA from Oncorhynchus keta (chum salmon), 1101 nucleotides. RefSeq lists it as uncharacterized. The record is from RefSeq and is a predicted model, not a curated record. The transcript is spliced from 4 exons. NCBI's taxonomy places the organism in Eukaryota, Metazoa, Chordata, Actinopteri, Salmoniformes, Salmonidae.